GACGAACGCUGGCGGCGUGCUUAACACAUGCAAGUCGAACGGUGAAGCCCCAGCUUGCUGGCGUGGAUUAGUUGCGAACGGGUGAGUAACACUUGAGCAACCUGCCCCUGACUCUGGAAUAAGCUCUGGAAACGGCGUCUCAUCCUGGAUACGAGAAGGGUCCUCAUGGUCACUUUCUGUAAAGUUUGUUGGUUGGGGAUGGGCUCGCGGCCUAUCAGCUUGUUGGUGAGGUAAUGGCUCACCAAGGCCACGACGGGUAGCCGGCCUGAGAGGGCGACCGGCCACACUGGGACUGAAACACGACACAGACUACUACGGGAGGCAGCAGUGGGGAAUAUUGCACAAUGGGCGAAAGCCUGAUGCAGCGAAGCCGCGUGAGGGAUGACAGCAUUCGGGUUGUAAACCUAUUUCAGCAGGGAAGAAGCGAAAGUGACGGUACCUGCAGAAGAAGCACCGGCUAACUACGUG
Molecule: ribosomal RNA, 468 nt
Filed under: uncultured bacterium
Lineage: Bacteria
Description: partial 16S ribosomal RNA
Rfam family: Bacterial small subunit ribosomal RNA
Source: RNAcentral